Molecule: ribosomal RNA, 629 nt
Filed under: Vibrio sp. FI6
Lineage: Bacteria; Pseudomonadati; Pseudomonadota; Gammaproteobacteria; Vibrionales; Vibrionaceae
Description: bacterial SSU rRNA
Rfam family: Bacterial small subunit ribosomal RNA
Source: RNAcentral
AUGCAAGUCGAGCGGAACGACUUAACUGAACCUUCGGGGAACGUUAAGGGCGUCGAGCGGCGGACGGGUGAGUAAUGCCUGGGAAUAUGCCUUAGUGUGGGGGAUAACUAUUGGAAACGAUAGCUAAUACCGCAUAAUGUCUUCGGACCAAAGAGGGGGACCUUCGGGCCUCUCGCGCUAAGAUUAGCCCAGGUGAGAUUAGCUAGUUGGUGAGGUAAGAGCUCACCAAGGCGACGAUCUCUAGCUGGUCUGAGAGGAUGAUCAGCCACACUGGAACUGAGACACGGUCCAGACUCCUACGGGAGGCAGCAGUGGGGAAUAUUGCACAAUGGGCGAAAGCCUGAUGCAGCCAUGCCGCGUGUAUGAAGAAGGCCUUCGGGUUGUAAAGUACUUUCAGUAGGGAGGAAGGUUCAUGCGUUAAUAGCGUAUGGAUUUGACGUUACCUACAGAAGAAGCACCGGCUAACUCCGUGCCAGCAGCCGCGGUAAUACGGAGGGUGCGAGCGUUAAUCGGAAUUACUGGGCGUAAAGCGCAUGCAGGUGGUUCAUUAAGUCAGAUGUGAAAGCCCGGGGCUCAACCUCGGAACCGCAUUUGAAACUGGUGAACUAGAGUGCUGUAGAGGGGGGUAG